This 401-nucleotide ribosomal RNA is filed under the name uncultured bacterium. RNAcentral describes it as "bacterial SSU rRNA". It matches the Rfam family "Bacterial small subunit ribosomal RNA", at positions 355 to 773 of the family's 1533-position model. The record is from RNAcentral.
UCGGGAAUUUUGGGCAAUGGGCGAAAGCCUGACCCAGCAACGCCGCGUGAAGGAUGAAGCCUUUCGGGCUGUAAACUUCGUACGAAUAGGAAGAAUAAAUGACGGUACUAUUUGCAAGGUCCGGCUAACUACUUGCCAGCAGCCGCGGUAAUACGUAGGGACCAAGCGUUGUUCGGAUUUACUGGGCGUAAAGGGCGCGUAGGCGGCAAUUCAAGUCAGUUGUGAAAUCUCCGAGCUUAACUCGGAACGGUCAACUGAUACUGUUUUGCUAGAGUACAGAAGGGGCAAUCGGAGUUCUUGGUGUAGCGGUGAAAUGCGUAGAUAUCAAGAGGAACACCUGAGGUGAAGACGGGUUGCUGGGCUGAUACUGACGCUGAGGCGCGAAAGCUAGGGUAGCAAAC